Molecule: small nucleolar RNA, 107 nt
Filed under: Sorghum bicolor (sorghum)
Lineage: Eukaryota; Viridiplantae; Streptophyta; Magnoliopsida; Poales; Poaceae
Description: Plant small nucleolar RNA R71
Rfam family: Plant small nucleolar RNA R71
About the family: R71 is a member of the C/D box family of snoRNAs containing the C (UGAUGA) and D (CUGA) box motifs. Multiple nearly identical copies of this snoRNA have been identified in Arabidopsis, and it is thought to function as a 2'-O-ribose methylation guide for 18S ribosomal RNA.
Source: Rfam by way of RNAcentral
UUCCAUGGUGACGACAGUCUGAUAUGUAUCCUUGAAAACACUCCCAUGCUUCUGUAAUGGUUUCUAUCUUCUUGUGUUAGAAACUGACAAUAUUUCCUCUUAAGGCA